RNAcentral lists this ribosomal RNA (520 nucleotides) under uncultured Glomus. RNAcentral's name for it is "SSU rRNA". It matches the Rfam family "Eukaryotic small subunit ribosomal RNA", at positions 569 to 1092 of the family's 1831-position model. The record is from RNAcentral. Lineage: Eukaryota; Fungi; Glomeromycota; Glomeromycetes; Glomerales; Glomeraceae.
AGCAGCCGCGGUAAUUCCAGCUCCAAUAGCGUAUAUUAAAGUUGUUGCAGUUAAAAGCUCGUAGUUGAAUUUCGGGAUCAAUGUUUCGGUCAUGCCGUUGGUAUGUACUGAUAUUAUUGGUUUCUCACCUUCUAAAGAACCGUAAUGCCAUUAAUUUGGUGUCACGGGGAAUUAGGACUGUUACCUUGAAAAAUUAGAGUGUUUAAAGCAGGCUCACGCUUGAAUACAUUAGCGUGGAAUAAUGAAAUAGGACAUCCGAUUCUAUUUUGUUGGUUUCUAGGAUCGAUGUAAUGAUUAAUAGGGAUAGUUGGGGGCAUUAGUAUUCAAUUGUCAGAGGUGAAAUUCUUGGAUUUAUUGAAGACUAACUACUGCGAAAGCAUUUGCCAAGGAUGUUUUCAUUAAUCAAGAACGAAAGUUAGGGGAUCGAAGACGAUCAGAUACCGUCGUAGUCUUAACCAUAAACUAUGCCGACUAGGGAUCGGAUGAUGUUAAUUUUUAAUGACUCAUUCGGCGCCUUACG